ACGAAGGAAAGAAGGGUAAAAAUGGAAGGCGAAGACGAAGAAAGAUGAUCGGCAAUCGGCGGCGACACAACAUCGGAAUCGUAACCGUUACCCGGCCGGCGGCGGCGGCAGCCCAUCGUAAAAAGGUAUGGCCACAAACAAGAACGCACCAAAUAAAGAUGAGAAGUAGAGUGAGGAAAGUAAGGUAAACCCAAUGGGAACCAAAAAACGGGAGGGUACCGCAUUGGGCAGAAGACGAUCCAAAAAGYGAAGGCUCACCCUUAUUAUUAAUACUCACCC
This is a non-coding RNA of Momordica charantia (bitter melon), 279 nucleotides long. Lineage: Eukaryota; Viridiplantae; Streptophyta; Magnoliopsida; Cucurbitales; Cucurbitaceae. The record is from RefSeq and is a predicted model, not a curated record.